Molecule: ribosomal RNA, 378 nt
Filed under: uncultured bacterium
Lineage: Bacteria
Description: bacterial SSU rRNA
Rfam family: Bacterial small subunit ribosomal RNA
Source: RNAcentral
AUUGAACGCUGGCGGCAUGCCUUACACAUGCAAGUCGGAACGGCAGCACGGGGCAACCUGGUGGCGAGUGGCGAACGGGUGAGUAAUGCAUCGGAACGUGCCAUUGAGUGGGGGAUAACGUAGCGAAAGUUGCGCCAAUACCGCAUAUUCUGUGAGCAGGAAAGCAGGGGACCGCAAGGCCUUGCGCUCUUUGAGCGGCCGAUGUCAGAUUAGCUAGUUGGUGAGGUAACGGCUUACCAAGGCGACGAUCUGUAGCGGGUCUGAGAGGAUGAUCCGCCACACUGGAACUGAGACACGGUCCAGACUCCUACGGGAGGCAGCAGUGGGGAAUUUUGGACAAUGGGCGCAAGCCUGAUCCAGCCAUGCCGCGUGAGUGAA